CGGGGAGUAGAGCAGCCUGAUGGUAGCUCGCAAGGCUAAUAACCUUGAGGUCGCGGGUUCAAAUCCCGCCUCCCCGC
This 77-nucleotide transfer RNA is filed under the name Agapetes malipoensis. Its description in RNAcentral is "tRNA-Ile". It matches the Rfam family "tRNA". From Rfam's summary of the family: Transfer RNA (tRNA) molecules are approximately 80 nucleotides in length. The record is from RNAcentral. Lineage: Eukaryota; Viridiplantae; Streptophyta; Magnoliopsida; Ericales; Ericaceae.